UUGGCAACAGAGAUUUGCAACUUUGUGGGGCAGGGAGAAUGGUUUGAGGGGCAACUUAUGGCAAAUAAAAGAUAAGAAGGAAAGAUUUAGCAUUCCCGUUUCCCUUCUGCUUCAUACUAAUUUACCUGUGAUGUGUACUUCAAACAUCUAACUUCCCAGGACCAAUGGCACAUUUUUCCCACAUAAAAGGCAGCAGUGGAGAAAAUACAGUCCAUGUGCCAUUCAGGUGAUGCCACCCAAUUUCUUUCCAAGGUUGAUAGGGUGACAGAGAUGGCUAUGUUCCAAGGUCCCUGUUGAAUCAGUGUGUCCCUUUAUAGCAGACUUGAUCUUCCAGCAAUCAUCAACCAGCCCCUCUGCAAUGCCAGGAAUACAGCUUAAUGGUGUAACAUUAGAAAACGUUGACUAUUUCCGCUACCUUCCAUUAGCGUUGCUCCGAAAAAUCCUGCAAAUCUCUUGGGAAGACAGGUGGACUAAUGUUAGCAUGCUGGAAGAAGCAAAACCACCAGCAUUGAAGCGAUGCUCCUAUGUCAUAAACUCCACUGGACUGGCCAUGUUGUCCAAAUGCCUGAUCACUGUCUCCCAAAGCAGUUACUAUAUUCCCAACUCAAGGAUGGGAAAUGUAAUGUUGGUGGACAGAAAAAGAGAUUUAAAGAUAGGCCCAAAGGUGACCUUGAAAACUGUGGCAUAGACUCCCAGAACUGGGAAGCCCUGGCCCUUGAGCGCUCUAAUUGGAGGUCAGCUGUGACCAGCAGUGCUGCAGAAUUCAAAGAGGCACAAAUGGAGGACUUAUGGGAGAAAGGUGCCAAGAGAAAGGCGCGUCAAGCCAACCCUGACUGGGACCGCCUUCCAUCUGGAAACGGAUGUCUUCACUGCAGAAGAACAUGCGGGUCAAGAAUAAGUCUCCACAGCCACCUACGCAUCCACCGCCAAGACACAACACUUGGAUGACCAUCAUCCUUGAGCUACGAGGGAUCGACUAAGUAAAUAAAGAUCAAAAAAGGAGAAGUAUUCUGCCUGUCCUCAAACCUAUUUCACUGUUGAAAUUGGAACGUGACAAGAUAUUACAAGACCCACAUGCCUGUGGAUUUCAAUGGCUUUCAAUGGCAUAGCAGAGCACUUGAUGAACCAGCCUGGGCACAGUAUAUUAUUUGAGAACACAGAAAUGCUGGACCACUCCAACAACAAUCAUGUCAGACUACACAGAGAAGCCAUUGAAAUCCACAAGCAUGUGGACAACUUCAACAGAAAGGAGGAAACCAUGAAAAUCAACAAAAUCUGGCUACCAGUAUUAAAAAAAACUCUAAAAUCAAAACAGUAGAUGGGAACCAACACUCUGAGGGCAGAGGAGCCCCAAGGACGGCUAAUGACUGAACAAAGGAUGCCCCCCAGGCAAGAGACAAAACCUUUCCAAUGCUAAUUAGGGUGAUUAACUGAAACAUUAAUGCUGGCUUCCCAGUGACAAAGGACUCUUGCCACACCCUGGACUCUCCACAGAUAUAUAUUUUUUUCCUUUCCUUGCCUAGUUUAUCCAUGCCUCACAGCCAUAGAUGUGGGCGAAGCGUCAGGAGAGAAUGCUUCUGGAACAUGGCCACACAGCCCAAAAGACAUACAACAACCCAGAAGAAAGAUGUCUUAUGGACAAUUGUCCUAUGGAGGAUCCCCCCCACCCC
Anolis carolinensis (green anole) is the source of this 1670-nucleotide long non-coding RNA. RefSeq lists it as uncharacterized. The transcript has 2 exons. The record is from RefSeq and is a predicted model, not a curated record. NCBI's taxonomy places the organism in Eukaryota, Metazoa, Chordata, Lepidosauria, Squamata, Anolidae.